RNAcentral lists this ribosomal RNA (406 nucleotides) under uncultured bacterium. RNAcentral's name for it is "partial 16S ribosomal RNA". It matches the Rfam family "Bacterial small subunit ribosomal RNA", at positions 28 to 526 of the family's 1533-position model. The record is from RNAcentral.
GACGAACGCUGGCGGCGUGCUUAACACAUGCAAGUCGAACGAGUGGCGAACGGGUGAGUAAUGUAUGCUAAUCUGCCCUACACUAGAGGACAACAGUUGGAAACGGCUGCUAAUACUUUAUAGUGUAGGAUGAGGCUAUAUUGUAUCAGCUAGUUGGUGAGGUAAUGGCUCACCAAGGCUAUGACGCAUAACUGGUCUGAGAGGAUGAUCAGUCACACUGGAACUGAGACACGGUCCAGACUCCUACGGGAGGCAGAAGUAGGGAAUAUUGCUCAAUGGGGGAAACCCUGAAGCAGCAACGCCGCGUGUAUGAAGAAGGCCUUCGGGUUGUAAAGGACUGUCAGCGUGGAGGCGUUACCCGCAGAAGAAGCAACGGCUAACUCCGUGCCAGCAGCCGCGGUAAUAC